AGCUUGGUGAGCAGGCACCAGGCCUGAUCCCUGCCCAGCCCCAGCACCCUACCCUCUUCAUGUCCUUGGUCCUUCUUCCCGGCUCCUGGCCCCAGCCUGGCCUCCCAUCCACUUCCUGAUUGUGCCUCUGCCCCCAGCUCCAUUCUCCUGAUCAUCCUCUUCUCCCAGUACCUGCGCAACCUCACCUUCCUGCUGCCUGUCUACCGCUGGGGCAAGGGCCUCACUCUCCUCCGCAUCCAGAUCUUCAAAAUGUUUCCUGUGAGGACCUGGCAGGCGGCUGGGGCUGGGACUAUGGCCAGGGCUUGGGCUGAGGUGGGAGCAGGUUAGCCUGGACAGAGACCUCCAGUGCCUUCAGUGCCCCCUCACCCCCCUCCUUCAGAUCAUGCUGGCCAUCAUGACCGUGUGGCUGCUCUGCUAUGUCCUGACCUUGACAGACGUGCUGCCCACAGACCCAAAAGCCUAUGGCUUCCAGGCACGAACCGAUGCCCGUGGUGACAUCAUGGCUAUUGCACCCUGGAUCCGCAUCCCCUACCCCUGUCAGUGGGGCCUGCCCACGGUGA
This 560-nucleotide long non-coding RNA is filed under the name Homo sapiens (human). RNAcentral's name for it is "non-protein coding lnc-MZB1-2:1". The record is from RNAcentral. Lineage: Eukaryota; Metazoa; Chordata; Mammalia; Primates; Hominidae.